RNAcentral lists this ribosomal RNA (526 nucleotides) under uncultured bacterium. RNAcentral's name for it is "bacterial SSU rRNA". It matches the Rfam family "Bacterial small subunit ribosomal RNA", at positions 47 to 562 of the family's 1533-position model. The record is from RNAcentral.
CCUAACACAUGCAAGUCGAACGGUAACAGGAAACAGCUUGCUGUUUCGCUGACGAGCGGCGGACGGGUGAGUAAUGUCUGGGAAACUGCCUGAUGGAGGGGGAUAACUACUGGAAACGGUAGCUAAUACCGCAUAACGUCGCAAGACCAAAGAGGGGGACCCUCGGGCCUCUUGCCAUCGGAUGUGCCCAGAUGGGAUUAGCUUGUUGGUGGGGUAACGGCUCACCAAGGCGACGAUCCCUAGCUGGUCUGAGAGGAUGACCAGCCACACUGGAACUGAGACACGGUCCAGACUCCUACGGGAGGCAGCAGUGGGGAAUAUUGCACAAUGGGCGCAAGCCUGAUGCAGCCAUGCCGCGUGUAUGAAGAAGGCCUUCGGGUUGUAAAGUACUUUCAGCGGGGAGGAAGGGAGUAAAGUUAAUACCUUUGCUCAUUGACGUUACCCGCAGAAGAAGCACCGGCUAACUCCGUGCCAGCAGCCGCGGUAAUACGGAGGGUGCAAGCGUUAAUCGGAAUUACUGGGCGUA